AAACAUCAUAUAGAUUAUAUUAGAUUCACCAAAACUUACUAUCUCAACAUUUUUUACUAUGAAACAUUGGCAUCAUUAAUUGGAUUAAGAGAGGUAAAAGAGGUCUAUCCGAUAAAUUUCACAGAGCAACUUGGAAUACCGUGGCCAUUCAACAAGAAUCCAUCUAAUCUUGUGUUAUUGCACUCUGCAUCACCGUUCAUAAAGAAGGAGAGGGAAAAUUUCUAGUAGAGACGGAAA
This is a long non-coding RNA of Rhodamnia argentea, 237 nucleotides long. RefSeq lists it as uncharacterized. The transcript has 2 exons. The record is from RefSeq and is a predicted model, not a curated record. Lineage: Eukaryota; Viridiplantae; Streptophyta; Magnoliopsida; Myrtales; Myrtaceae.